Molecule: ribosomal RNA, 429 nt
Filed under: Gemmatimonadota bacterium
Lineage: Bacteria; Pseudomonadati; Gemmatimonadota
Description: Gemmatimonadetes bacterium partial 16S ribosomal RNA
Rfam family: Bacterial small subunit ribosomal RNA
Source: RNAcentral
UAGGGAAUCUUCGGCAAUGGACGAAAGUCUGACCGAGCAACGCCGCGUGAGUGAAGAAGGUUUUCGGAUCGUAAAACUCUGUUGUUAGAGAAGAACAAGGACGUUAGUAACUGAACGUCCCCUGACGGUAUCUAACCAGAAAGCCACGGCUAACUACGUGCCAGCAGCCGCGGUAAUACGUAGGUGGCAAGCGUUGUCCGGAUUUAUUGGGCGUAAAGCGAGCGCAGGCGGUUUCUUAAGUCUGAUGUGAAAGCCCCCGGCUCAACCGGGGAGGGUCAUUGGAAACUGGGAGACUUGAGUGCAGAAGGGGAGAGUGGAAUUCCAGGUGUAGCGGUGAAAUGCGUAGAUAUAUGGAGGAACACCAGUGGCGAAGGCGGCUCUCUGGUCUGUAACUGACGCUGAGGCUCGAAAGCGUGGGGAGCAAACAGG